CAGCGGAUGGAAGAUUGUAUAGUCUU
This 26-nucleotide non-coding RNA is filed under the name Homo sapiens (human). The record is from RNAcentral. Lineage: Eukaryota; Metazoa; Chordata; Mammalia; Primates; Hominidae.